Molecule: long non-coding RNA, 556 nt
Filed under: Homo sapiens (human)
Lineage: Eukaryota; Metazoa; Chordata; Mammalia; Primates; Hominidae
Description: HSALNT0116046
Source: RNAcentral
CUGUUCCCCGUCAAAGAGCUGUAGGAGGGCGAGUUAAAGAGUUAAAAAGUGACAGAGGUUGUCAAACUUUACUCUACCCCAAGGGCCAAGAGAUGCUCCUGACUGCCUCUUACAAGAAAUUUGCAGACACGUGCACUUGGGUUUGACUCACUUAACAUGUCAAGACAUCAGAUCUUCACGUCAUGAGCAAGGGGCACAAGCAGGUCAGUCAUAGGACCUGCGUUUGAGACGUGCCCUGUUGAUACCUGGAGGAAAGAAACGUCCUUAUCUCUGAAGACACAAGACUUCAGAGAUAGAUCUGAACAAACACCUCUUCAAACCCAGGAGUGUGUCAACUUCUUGGUUGCAUUGCUUUCUUCAAAGAGAGAGUGAAUCCGGUAGAGAUAGAAAGGAUGUCCUUUACGUAUCCCACAGCGGCCUCACGGAGAACGAUAAGAGAACAAUCAUUAAAACUUUCAUUGCCAUAAUUUUCUGCUUUCGUUUUUUAAAAGUUUGGGUUAGCAACCAAUUUCCUCCUUGACCAGGUGAUUUUUUCCUUAGACUGUUUAUCCAGAGC